UCUCCGUUGGUGAACCAGCGGAGGGAUCAUUACAGAGUUGCAAAACUCCCAACCCAUUGUUAACGUUACCUGUCCCGUUGCUUCGGCGGGCGGCCCGGGCCCCGCGCCCGGCGCCCCCCGGCCCCCCGUGGGCGCCCGCCGGAGGUAAACCAAACUCUUGAAUUGCAUGGCCUCGCUGAGUCUUCUGUACUGAAUAAGUCAAAACUUUCAACAACGGAUCUCUUGGUUCUG
This 231-nucleotide unclassified non-coding RNA is filed under the name plant metagenome. RNAcentral's name for it is "partial contains small subunit ribosomal RNA, internal transcribed spacer 1, and 5.8S ribosomal RNA". The record is from RNAcentral.